Sapajus apella (tufted capuchin) is the source of this 103-nucleotide small nuclear RNA. NCBI's taxonomy places the organism in Eukaryota, Metazoa, Chordata, Mammalia, Primates, Cebidae. The record is from RefSeq and is a predicted model, not a curated record.
GGCAGCACAUAUACUUUAAAAAAAAAUUGGAAUGAUACAGAGAAGAUUAGCAUGGUCCUUGUACAAAUAUGAUGUGCAAAUUUGUAACUCAAGAAUCCCUCCC